UUGAAAACAAAAAUAACAACAAUAAAACCCAAAAAAUGUGCAUUGACUUUGAGACUGAGUGCUGAACACUCAGUUUGGGUGCUGAGGAAAAGCUGGAAGGAUUAAGGAAACUACUGUCAGAAGUCUAAUGGCCCUCGAAAAUACUCAGUGAGAGCUUCAAGGGGAAGCCAACCACUAUGAAAGAUGUCCAAUUACUCUGAGCCUAUCAUGCUGGAGAACUCUCACCCACAGGUACUCCAGUCAACACCACCAAUAGCAAAUGCCAGUCAUGAGGGUUGCAGUACCAGAGCUCUUCUUGAUGGAUAAAACCAUAGAAAAGUGUUCAAAAUCCUUAUGAGGAAGUUGUGCAAGUUGCCUCAUGCUUAGAGGAUGCUAUCUCAUUGGGACAAAGCCUACUUGGCAGACCAGACCAGGACAGCCUUUGUGAACCCAGACUAAGCUCCAGAGCCUCCACCCUUCUCAGCCUCACUUCUGCUGCUUUGCCAGACUUGACCUUGGGCACACAGUUAUCACUUAUAUUGGUAAAUGUUAAGAAACAAUUGAAGAGAGAAACACCCUGACUGUGUUCUGCACAGAAAGGAGUAUUAACUUGUAAAUGGGGAGUGAUGUGGCUCAGAAUGCCAAAGCAGUUAUUAACUCCUAGUCAACCUUCCAGUCUGAAUUCUAGUGAAGUCACUUCUGACUCAGGCUGAUGAGUGAUUUCCUUUACUCCUCUCUGUUGAAAAUUAUGUGUGUGUAUGUGUGUGUGUUCACACGCGUGCAUGGAUGUGAUCACGUAUGUCUCUCCUACUAAGCUUCAAGCCCCAGGAAAGUCUUUUUUAUGUUUGUAAAAGUGAUAUGUCAUAAUUGUACGUAUUUUGAAGGUACAUGUCAUAUUUUGAUACAAUGUCCAAUUAUUAAAUCAGGGUAAUUGAGAUACCCAUCACCUCAAACAUUUAUCUUUUCUUUGUGUAGGAAACAUAAUCUUUUUCUUCUAGUUAAUUUGAAUAAUACAAUAAAUUAUUGUUAACUGUAAUUUCCCUACCAUGUUAUCGAAUGCUAGAGCAUAUUCCUUCUAUCUAACUGUACUUUUGUACCCAUUAACUAACUUCUCUUUAUUCCUCCUUACUUUCCUUCCUAGCCUCUGGUAGUCACCAUUCUACUCUCGAGGUCCAUGAGAUCUACAUUUUUAGCUCCUGCAUAUGAGUGACAACAUGUGAUGAUUGUCUUUCUGUGCCUGGCUUAUUUCACUUAGCAUAA
Molecule: non-coding RNA, 1239 nt
Organism: Chlorocebus sabaeus (green monkey)
Lineage: Eukaryota; Metazoa; Chordata; Mammalia; Primates; Cercopithecidae
Source: RefSeq, a predicted model, not a curated record